This 253-nucleotide ribosomal RNA is filed under the name uncultured bacterium. RNAcentral describes it as "partial 16S ribosomal RNA". It matches the Rfam family "Bacterial small subunit ribosomal RNA", at positions 524 to 776 of the family's 1533-position model. The record is from RNAcentral.
UACGUAGGGGGCAAGCGUUGUCCGGAUUUAUUGGGCGUAAAGAGCGUGUAGGCGGCUGGGUAGGUCCGUUGUGAAAACUCGAGGCUCAACCUCGAGACGCCGAUGGAAACCCCCCAGCUAGAGUCCGGAAGAGGAGAGUGGAAUUCCUGGUGUAGCGGUGAAAUGCGCAGAUAUCAGGAAGAACACCAGUGGCUAAGGCGGCUCUCUAGUACGGUACUGACGCUGAGACGCGAAAGCGUGGGGAGCGAACAGG